CACACAUAAAAACGAUAAUCGCGUUCUUGCACUGCCCACACUGUGACAUUCGCAGUGGACAAGGGCAAAGCUUUUCUCACACUAAAGUGGAGUUUGGCGAC
This is a long non-coding RNA of Drosophila subobscura, 101 nucleotides long. RefSeq lists it as uncharacterized. The transcript is spliced from 3 exons. NCBI's taxonomy places the organism in Eukaryota, Metazoa, Arthropoda, Insecta, Diptera, Drosophilidae. The record is from RefSeq and is a predicted model, not a curated record.